Molecule: ribosomal RNA, 443 nt
Filed under: uncultured bacterium
Lineage: Bacteria
Description: partial 16S ribosomal RNA
Rfam family: Bacterial small subunit ribosomal RNA
Source: RNAcentral
CCUACGGGGGGCAGCAGUGGGGAAUAUUGGGCAAUGGACGCAAGUCUGAACCAGCAAUGCCGCGUGAAGGAAGAAGGCCCUCGGGUUUUAAACUUCUUUUUACAGGGAGGAAGAAAGUGACGGUACCUGCUGACUAAGCCACUGCUAACUACGUGCCACCAGCCGCGGCAAUACGUAGGUGGCAAUAGUUAUGCGGAUUUAAUGGGUGUAAGGGUCGUGUAGGCGGGAGGGCAAGUCAGACGUGAAAUCCCGGGGCUCAACCCUGGAACUGCGUUUGACACUGUUCUUCUUGAGUGAUGGAGCGGCAGGCGGAAUGUCGGGUGUAGCGGUGAAAUGCUUAGAGAUCACGCAGAACUCCGAUUGCGAAGGCAGCUUACUAAACUGCCACUGACAUUGAUGCACGAAAGUGUGGGUAUCAAACAGGAUUAGAUACCCGAGUAGUC